This 1132-nucleotide ribosomal RNA is filed under the name Watersipora subtorquata. RNAcentral's name for it is "large subunit ribosomal RNA". The stretch from base 760 to 1080 matches the Rfam family "Bacterial large subunit ribosomal RNA", at positions 2069 to 2651 of the family's 2925-position model. Lineage: Eukaryota; Metazoa; Bryozoa; Gymnolaemata; Cheilostomatida; Watersiporidae. The record is from RNAcentral.
AUCUAAAAUCUAUUAAAAGAACAAUAAAACAUAAUAAAUCAAGUUUUAAAAAUAUAAAGAAAAAACCGAAAGGGUAAUUACUAAACAAAAAAAGUAAAAAUAAAAAUUUGUACCUUGUGUAUCAUGGACUAUUAAAUAAAAAUAUAAAUUAUAAAUACCCGAAAGUGAAUGAGCUAUAAUAAUUCAAUUAAGAAUCCAUAAAAAAUGUUGCAAAAUUUUUAAAAGAAAUUAUUAUAGAAAUAAAAUGUUUACGCAUUCACUGAUAUCUGGUUACAAAAAUGCAUAUAGUGCAAUUUUUAAUUAAAAGUAAUAACCUUGGGAUAAGCUAAGGUUAAAUAGAUUUAUUAAAAACAAAAUAAGAAAAUUUUUUUAGGCUUAAAAAUAGCCUUAAACAAAAAUUGUAAUAAUAAAAAUCUUAUAAUGUAUAUAAUUAUAUAUAUAAUAAUCUAAAAAAAAUAAAUAAACCUACUAUUUAUUAAUAAAAUGAUAGUACUAGUAGUUUAAAAAUAAUAACUAUCUGACCCAAACAAUAAAAUAUAAAGGAACUCGGCAAAACUAAGCAACGACUGUUUAACAAAAACAUAGCUUCUUGAAACCAUAAGAAGUACCACCUGCCCAGUGUAUUAUAAACGGCCGCGAAAGUGCUAAGGUAGCAUAAUAAUUUGUCUUUUCAUUGAAGACUAGUAUGAAAGGUAUAACGAAGCUUAACUGUCUCCUUAUUUUAAAACAAAACUAAUUUAAAAGUGAAAAAGCUUUUAUUUUUAAGAAGGACGAGAAGACCCUAUAGAGUUUUAGUAAAAAUUAAUAUUUUAUUAGUUAUACUUUUAUUGGGGCAAUACAAGAAAAAUAAAAAUCUUUAUAUUUAUAAACCCUCAAAGAGAACAAAAAAAACUACCUUAGGGAUAACAGCGUAAUCUUACCAGAGAGUCCUAAUUGAAGGUAAGGAUUGCGACCUCGAUGUUGGACUAAGGAAACUUUUAUAUGUAGAAGUAUAAAGUAGUAAGCCUGUUCGGCUUUUAAACCCUUACAUGAUCUGAGUUCAGGUCGGCGUGAGCUAGUCCGGUUUCUAUCCUCUUAAAACUAAUAUAAUACUUUUUAUUACGAAAGGAACAAAAGAAAAUAUAAUAUAUAA